CCGAAAAUUCCCCUUUACUUGUAAAUCAUAAAUAUGUUUCCCAACUCUUCCCCAGAAUAAAACAGAAGAGGCAUCUCUCCAAGUUACGUCAGGGAAAUGGUCAAAAACAAAAUUAACAAAAGCUUUUAAAUCCCUCUUUUUAAAAGAAACAUCUCCCAGAACGAGGGCAGACUUAACUUGGAGAUAAAAAUCCCGUCUAACCAGAGAAAGACGGUUACCCAUUAUCUCUCGACAGAGAUUCCCCCCCCCCCCGAAGCAAAUGGAGAAAGAAAAAAGAAGAGCCUGAGUCAGAUGCUGCGAGGAGCAGCAGGCAGCCGCACUGCAAACUCACCACCAGAAGGACGCAGGCAAAAAGAAAGGUGCUCCGAAUGGGUGGUGGAUCUCUGCUGGUCCCGGAGAUUCUAAAGCUUCCCCUGAAGCUGAGGAUUGGAAGUCUGCGGGUUAUCAGCAGGUCCAGAGACAGCAGUCUUCCAAGAUGAAAGUGCAGCCGCCCUGGAAACUGAUGCCGAACAACGCUUAAAAUCCUCAGGAAGCUGGGUCACAGAUCCGAGAGUCCUUCGGAGACGUUCAGGGCUGAACAAGCAGGUGUUCAGCCUGUUCGGGCACCAGUUGAGGCAUCCUGGACCUUGGUCCUGUGGGGAAACCCGCUGGUGGCCGGUCGACAGGAGCCACGAUAACUAGGAGGAUGGAUCCACCAAUAGACGGGACGACACCCAGAGCGCUGCAGUUCUCAAGGGUUUAUUGCAGCAGUUUCCCAUGGCAUCCCUGACAGAUCCCCUCCAGGACCACCUCCCACAGCGCUGGGUGGUUAGCCGCAGCCAGAGGUAUGGCCAGAGGCACCCUGCCCACAACAGUAAAAAGCUUUAUAUAUUCUUGGUAAGCCAACCCCCACAUUCAUACAUAUUCCACUCUUCCAACACUGCUUCUCCUUCAUCCCAUCUUCCCAGUGCUUGUGCAGUCCUUCUUGCUUCGACUCCCCACAAUGGUCAAAGAUCAGCAUUACAACUUACAUCAUUAACACAAUAAUCAUAUUAGAAAAACUCCAAAUCUUAACAAAGCUUCUUUUAACAUUAUAACGCACGCCUGUACCAUACCACCUGUUUAUAACAACAGUAAAUGGAGACUAACUGGGAAUCUGUCCCAAAAUCACGCAACUGCUCUAAAACAAACAAUUGCAGUCACUGCCAAACAAAACUCGAUAAUCUUGUUUUCUUCUCUUACAUGAACAUAGCAAAGGGACAUGGUGCUGCUGGAGACAGAAGAAAGCACCAAACCAGUGCUCCAUAAUGUGACAUUGUCAGUGCUCCAAUUUCUAGACCACAGUCAUCUGCUCUAUUCAGUAAUACCACAAGGCAAAGAAAUGUAUGUUUCCUCUCUUUAAGCAAUUGGCUACCAAGCCUGUAGCUUAACUGAUUAAAAAAUAUCUGAGCACUAA
This is a long non-coding RNA of Vidua chalybeata, 1435 nucleotides long. RefSeq lists it as uncharacterized. Lineage: Eukaryota; Metazoa; Chordata; Aves; Passeriformes; Viduidae. The record is from RefSeq and is a predicted model, not a curated record. The transcript has 2 exons.